This 253-nucleotide ribosomal RNA is filed under the name uncultured bacterium. Its description in RNAcentral is "partial 16S ribosomal RNA". It matches the Rfam family "Bacterial small subunit ribosomal RNA", at positions 524 to 776 of the family's 1533-position model. The record is from RNAcentral.
UACGUAGGGUGCGAGCGUUGUCCGGAAUUAUUGGGCGUAAAGAGCUUGUAGGCGGUUUGUCGCGUCUGCCGUGAAAUUUCGAGGCUCAACCUCGAACUUGCGGUGGGUACGGGCAGACUAGAGUGUGGUAGGGGAGACUGGAAUUCCUGGUGUAGCGGUGAAAUGCGCAGAUAUCGGGAGGAACACCGGUGGCGAAGGCGGUUCUCUGGGCCUUACCUGACGCUGAGGAGCGAAAGCGUGGGGAGCAAACAGG